GGAGAUUUAGCUCAGUGGUAGAGCGCUUGCUAGGCAAGGCCCUGGGUUCAGUCCCCAGCUCCG
Rattus norvegicus (Norway rat) is the source of this 63-nucleotide non-coding RNA. The record is from Rfam. Lineage: Eukaryota; Metazoa; Chordata; Mammalia; Rodentia; Muridae.